RNAcentral lists this ribosomal RNA (385 nucleotides) under uncultured bacterium. Its description in RNAcentral is "bacterial SSU rRNA". It matches the Rfam family "Bacterial small subunit ribosomal RNA", at positions 28 to 406 of the family's 1533-position model. The record is from RNAcentral.
GAUGAACGCUAGCGACAGGCCUAACACAUGCAAGUCGAGGGGCAGCACGGGAGUAGCAAUACAACUGGUGGCGACCGGCGCACGGGUGAGUAACACGUAUGCAACCUACCUGUAAGAGGGGAAUAACCCGGAGAAAUUCGGACUAAUACCGCAUAAUACCGCGAAGCUGCAUGGCUUUGUGGUUAAAUAUUUAUAGCUUACAGAUGGGCAUGCGUAUGAUUAGCUAGUUGGUGAGGUAACGGCUCACCAAGGCAACGAUCAUUAGGGGUUCUGAGAGGAAGGUCCCCCACAUUGGAACUGAGACACGGUCCAAACUCCUACGGGAGGCAGCAGUGAGGAAUAUUGGUCAAUGGACGAGAGUCUGAACCAGCCAAGUCGCGUGAAG